UUUGUUCCCUAAAUAGGGACUUGUAUGAACGGCCACACGCGGGCUUUACUGUCUCUUACUUCCAAUCCGUGAAAUUGACCUUCCCGUGAAGAGGCGGGAAUAUAAUAAUAAGACGAGAAGACCCUAUGGAGCUUUAAUUAACCGACCCAAAGAGACCAUAUGAACCAACCGACAGGAACAACAAACCUCUAUAUGGGCCGGCAAUUUAGGUUGGGGUGACCUCGGAGAACAAAACAACCUCCGAGUGAUUUAAAUCUAGACUAACCAGUCGAAAGUACUACAUCACUUAUUGAUCCAAAAACCUUGAUCAACGGAACAAGUUACCCUAGGGAUAACAGCGCAAUCCCUAUUUCAGAGUCCAUAUCGACAAUAGGG
This 375-nucleotide ribosomal RNA is filed under the name Felis catus (domestic cat). RNAcentral's name for it is "partial 16S ribosomal RNA". It matches the Rfam family "Bacterial large subunit ribosomal RNA", at positions 1968 to 2516 of the family's 2925-position model. The record is from RNAcentral. Lineage: Eukaryota; Metazoa; Chordata; Mammalia; Carnivora; Felidae.